UAGGCCAUCAUUGUAAAUAAGAAUGUAUUCUUAACUGACUUGCCUAGUUAAAUAAAAUAAAUAAAAAGCACGCUUCUUCUGUUCCGCAGACAUAUCAAAAGAUCUAAAUACGACCAGCUCUUGUGACUCUCACUGACGCCAUCUCUCUCCUCGUGACUUCAAACGGAACUCCCGGGAGGAGCACACACCUGGAAAAGGAGAAAUAACACCCUGUCUGUGUGUACUUUCACCACCAGAGAGAGCUAUUUGUCCAGGUUUUCUGUCCACUGAUCUCUUUCAGUGAGUAGAAUGUGACGUUGAUUUGCAGUGAGAGACUUAUGUUUCAGAUACGGCAACUGCUCCGCCCUCAACCGUAAGGCUCUCCAGAGGGUAGUG
Long non-coding RNA from Oncorhynchus gorbuscha (pink salmon), 375 nucleotides. RefSeq lists it as uncharacterized. The record is from RefSeq and is a predicted model, not a curated record. Lineage: Eukaryota; Metazoa; Chordata; Actinopteri; Salmoniformes; Salmonidae. The transcript has 3 exons.